This 252-nucleotide ribosomal RNA is filed under the name uncultured bacterium. RNAcentral describes it as "partial 16S ribosomal RNA". It matches the Rfam family "Bacterial small subunit ribosomal RNA", at positions 57 to 305 of the family's 1533-position model. The record is from RNAcentral.
GCAAGUCGAGGGGUAACAGUGAGUGCUUGCACUUAGCUGACGACCGGCGCACGGGUGCGUAACGCGUAUACAAUCUACCUUGUACUGAGGGAUAGCCCAGAGAAAUUUGGAUUAAUACCUCAUAGUAUCAUAUUACGGCAUCGUAUUUAUGAUUAAAGGUUACGGUACAAGAUGAGUAUGCGUCCUAUUAGUUAGUUGGUAAGGUAACGGCUUACCAAGACAUCGAUAGGUAGGGGCCCUGAGAGGGGGAUC